UGAGGUACUUGGAGUGCUGUCCAUUUGUAGUUUGGAAUCAUUGUAUUCUUGUUAUAUCUGAUGAUGGAAACCCCCUUAAAAUUGUGAAUCAGAAACGCUGGAAGAUUUUGGUGAAAUUUAUUCUUUUGUGUUCUAACUAUUAAAAGAACCAAGUUUUGGUGGGAAGAAGUAAGAUGGAAUAUUUUCGGCCAAGCUUUCCUUG
Molecule: unclassified non-coding RNA, 202 nt
Filed under: Hevea brasiliensis (rubber tree)
Lineage: Eukaryota; Viridiplantae; Streptophyta; Magnoliopsida; Malpighiales; Euphorbiaceae
Source: RNAcentral